This 502-nucleotide ribosomal RNA is filed under the name uncultured bacterium. RNAcentral describes it as "partial 16S ribosomal RNA". It matches the Rfam family "Bacterial small subunit ribosomal RNA", at positions 30 to 523 of the family's 1533-position model. The record is from RNAcentral.
AUUGAACGCUGGCGGAAUGCUUUACACAUGCAAGUCGAACGGCAGCACGGGUGCUUGCACAUGGUGGCGAGUGGCGAACGGGUGAGUAAUACAUCGGAACGUACCCAGUUAUGGGGGAUAACUAACCGAAAGGUUAGCUAAUACCGCAUACGCCCUGAGGGGGAAAGCGGGGGACCGUAAGUCCUCGCGUAAUUGGAGCGGCCGAUGUCUGAUUAGCUAGUUGGUGAGGUAAAGGCUCACCAAGGCGACGAUCAGUAGCAGGUCUGAGAGGAUGAUCUGCCACACUGGAACUGAGACACGGUCCAGACUCCUACGGGAGGCAGCAGUGGGGAAUUUUGGACAAUGGGCGAAAGCCUGAUCCAGCCAUUCCGCGUGAGUGAAGAAGGCCUUCGGGUUGUAAAGCUCUUUCGGCAGGGAAGAAACGCUCUGGGAUAAUACUCCGGGGUAAUGACGGUACCUGAAGAAGAAGCACCGGCUAACUACGUGCCAGCAGCCGCAGUAA